AUAAUUUCUUAGAAAGAAUAGUAAAUCACAUAGUUAAUUUACAACUUUCUAAGAAUUAACAAUUAAACAGUUAAUUAAAGCAUUAAAGAAGUUUUCUAAUUUCUAUGCUUAUUGUGAAUUUAUAUGUUGGUAUGCUAAAUGAAGGGACAUAGAAUAUUGUGAAACCAACGCCUUAUAAAUAUUGUGAAACCAACGCCUUAUAAAUUUCAUGCAUCCUAAGAGCUUUCCUUCAUUGACCAUGAUCAGGAACGCUCAAAGCCAAAUAUUUGAAAAACAAAAACGUAUACUAACUGAACAGUUCAGGAGCUAUAAAAGCCUAAAAUUAAAGGUAAAG
Molecule: long non-coding RNA, 334 nt
Filed under: Mytilus galloprovincialis (Mediterranean mussel)
Lineage: Eukaryota; Metazoa; Mollusca; Bivalvia; Mytilida; Mytilidae
Source: RNAcentral